This 1418-nucleotide long non-coding RNA is filed under the name Chinchilla lanigera (long-tailed chinchilla). RNAcentral describes it as "lncRNA (ENSCLAG00000024142.1)". Lineage: Eukaryota; Metazoa; Chordata; Mammalia; Rodentia; Chinchillidae. The record is from RNAcentral.
UAGGGAAGUAUUUCUUACAUAAAUACUUUUAGAAAGUGAGCCUUUAUUCCAAGAGGCCUUGAAAAGGUGAAAGUAUAAAUAAGGCUAGGGAGGAAAUUCUUAUCCAUCUUUCUCCUGAGAGCUGAUGUGGUAGGAAAGGGGUAGGUAAUGUGUAUAUAUAGCUUCAAAUUUACAUAAAUGCUUUUCUCUUUUGUGAUUCAAUGGUGAACUGUUUAUUGUCAAAUGGAUUGAUUCUAGCGAAGUCUUAUUAUUUGUCUUAGACGAUCAGAAUCAACAGAAUGGCAUGACACUCAGAAACAACUUUCAGCAACAGUGAACCCUGAGAGGGCAAACUUAGAUAGGAUUAAAUGUCAACAUACAGAACUGUUCUCAGCCAAUCUAACAGACUGAAGUCCAACUGAGUCAUUAAUUUAGUAGCACUCAAGCCUUAAAAGCACAAAGCAUAUGCUUAUUAAAGGAACAAAGAUUGAAUUUAGAGAACUGAAAACAGGAAAGGAAACAAUAGGUUUCUUUUCAAUUAACAACUUUUUGGCAGGAUUUAAGCAGUAGAUACAACUUCCUUCAAGCCGUAUCAUUUCCGUGAAUCUAGUUGUAAAGCAAUUUACAACUCUGCAAGAUCACUAGCGUUAAACACCUACUCGCCAGACAGGUACCCUUUCUUUUGUUUCUUUUUCCUUUCUUCAUUUCCUUGACAAUUGGAUAAUAUUCUUAAGUAAUUAACAGAGUAUACAAUUUCUUUCUUAUUUUUGCAACUUCAUCCUUUGAAACCAAGUGAUUAACCAGCCUUGGUAAACUCCCUGCUAUUUCUCCCUUAGGAAUACAGUACGGAUUUCUGGAAAUCUCCUAGCAGGGAAGUACAGCCACACAGGCCUCAGUACCUUGCUGACCGAUGCCUCCUGUUCAACCCCAUCCUCAUUUGCAUUUAUUAUAUUAAGCUGAUAUUGCAGAAGCAGUUGAUUAUCAGGAAAGCCAGCUCAGCGCUGUUUUUGGUGAUGGCGGUGUUUUCUGAGACUGGGUCUUACUAUGCUACAAGUUGGCCUCAUCCAGGCUGGCCUUUGACUCACAAUCCACCUGCCUAAACAUCCAGGGUGCUGGGAUUCCAGGAAUGUGCCACCACGCCUGACAGGUAAGUGUUGGGGAGGGGUGCUGAUCUUUUUCUCUGUUCAUUCUCCUUUCCAAGUUCAUUUUGUCUUAUUCAUUUUCCUGUACUCAACUGCACAACUUUAAUAAAACUCCUUUUCUGAUUCUGUAACUUCUUGGUUACAUAAUAGAUUGUUCUUUACAUGCUCAGUCUAUUUUCUUCAGAUAAUGAGAUAGGACUCAAAUAGUAAUUGUUUUCAAGGCAUGCAGUUACUGUAACACUAAAAAAACUCUUUCUUAGUUGGGCAAAUUACUCAUUUUCAUGCUUUUGAUUCAAA